RNAcentral lists this ribosomal RNA (254 nucleotides) under uncultured bacterium. RNAcentral describes it as "partial 16S ribosomal RNA". It matches the Rfam family "Bacterial small subunit ribosomal RNA", at positions 524 to 776 of the family's 1533-position model. The record is from RNAcentral.
CACGUAGGGUGCGAGCGUUGUCCGGAAUUAUUGGGCGUAAAGAGCUCGUAGGCGGUGUGUCGCGUCGGCCGUGAAAACCUGCAGCUUAACUGUGGGCUUGCGGUCGAUACGGGCAUCACUGGAGUUCGGCAGGGGAGACUGGAAUUCCUGGUGUAGCGGUGAAAUGCGUAGAUAUCUGGAGGAACACCGGUGGCGAAGGCGGCGUCCUGGACCAACACUGACACUGAGGAGCGAAAGCGUGGGGAGCAAACAGG